Molecule: ribosomal RNA, 253 nt
Filed under: uncultured bacterium
Lineage: Bacteria
Description: partial 16S ribosomal RNA
Rfam family: Bacterial small subunit ribosomal RNA
Source: RNAcentral
UACGAAGGUCCCGAGCGUUGUUCGGAAUCACUGGGCGUAAGGGGAGCGUAGGCGGUUGGGUAAGUCAGAUGUGAAAUCCCGGGGCUCAACCCCGGAACUGCAUCCGAUACUGCCCGACUUGAGUAGUGGAGGGGUAACCGGAAUUCUCGGUGUAGCAGUGAAAUGCGUGGAUAUCGAGAGGAACACUCGUGGCGAAGGCGGGUUACUGGACACUUACUGACGCUGAGGCUCGAAGGCCAGGGUAGCGAAAGGG